Molecule: long non-coding RNA, 797 nt
Filed under: Capsicum annuum
Lineage: Eukaryota; Viridiplantae; Streptophyta; Magnoliopsida; Solanales; Solanaceae
Description: long non-coding RNA (CANN_LNC012625)
Source: RNAcentral
CCCAUAAAGGCAUAUACGGAUAUGGAUAUUCUUUGGUUUAUGCAAUAACACACACUGGGGCCCUUCCGGCCAUUGGAGAGUUACGCCCAUAUAGUGUAACACCCCAUAUUUUUGAGCUAGAAAUUGAACCGUAGUUCCUACGUGUGUAAACUCUAAUCCCAUGAUUUGAUUUUAAAUUUAUGUGUCAUGAUCUUUAUCCAUGGUGUUAAGUGAUUAUAAGGUGAAAAAUGUUCAUAGGAAUCAUUUAGAGCGAAGUUGAGAUAAGAGUUUUUGAUUUGGCUAAAUCAUUGUGUUCGAUUCUACAAGGGUAUACUUUGAACAUGUAUAACUUUUUAUAUACGUAGAAUUUUGCAGAUCAAGACCCACCAAAUUGUAUAUAAUUGAAUUAGAUUUCCAACGAUACCAAUUUCACCUUAAUUCGAUACCCGAAUAAAAAGUUAUGUCAUUUUUUGUGAGAGGCAGUAAGCCAACACAGUUAAGACGCGACACAUUGGUUGUCGAUGCGAUUAGCGAUGCGAUGAGAUGGCAAUCACGUUAUGGAACUAUUUCACACGCUAUUUCAGUUCCUAAAGGAUCUAUGGGCACUUUGGUAACUUUCCCUCACCCAAAUCUACCCAUAACACUUAAUUUUAGUCUCCAAAAGCAUUAUACACACUACUAUUAAUCUUUUCUCUCAAAGAAAAACCCUAGCCACCUGCCAAGAAAUAAGAUUCAACUCUUCUUCUCCAAAACAAGAAUUCAAGCCAUUUAACUUCAAGAUAUUCAAUAAAAGAGUGAAGAUUAGGUUUUCAAUGUUC